GACGAACGCUGGCGGCGUGCUUAACACAUGCAAGUCGAACGGAAAGGCCCUGCUUUUGUGGGGUGCUCGAGUGGCGAACGGGUGAGUAACACGUGAGUAACCUGCCCUUGACUUUGGGAUAACUUCAGGAAACUGGGGCUAAUACCGGAUAGGAGCUCCUGCUGCAUGGUGGGGGUUGGAAAGUUUCGGCGGUUGGGGAUGGACUCGCGGCUUAUCAGCUUGUUGGUGGGGUAGUGGCUUACCAAGGCUCUGACGGGUAGCCGGCCUGAGAGGGUGACCGGCCACAUUGGGACUGAGAUACGGCCCAGACUCCUACGGGAGGCAGCAGUGGGGAAUAUUGCACAAUGGGCGGAAGCCUGAUGCAGCAACGCCGCGUGCGGGAUGACGGCCUUCGGGUUGUAAACCGCUUUCGCCUGUGACGAAGCGUGAGUGACGGUAAUGGGUAAAGAAGCACCGGCUAACUACGUGCCAGCAGCCGCGGUGAUACGUAGGGGGCGAGCGUUGUCCGGAUUUAUUGGGCGUAAAGGGCUCGUAGGUGGUUGAUCGCGUCGGAAGUGUAAUCUUGGGGCUUAACCCUGAGCGUGCCUUCGAUACGGGUUGACUUGAGGAAGGUAGGGGAGAAUGGAAUUCCUGGUGGAGCGGUGGAAUGCGCAGAUAUCAGGAGGAACACCAGUGGCGAAGGCGGUUCUCUGGGCCUUUCCUGACGCUGAGGAGCGAAAGCGUGGGGAGCGAACAGGCUUAGAUACCCUGGUAGUCCACGCUGUAAACGGUGGGUACUAGGUGUGGGGUCCAUUCCACGGGUUCCGUGCCGUAGCUAACGCUUUAAGUACCCCGCCUGGGGAGUACGGCCGCAAGGCUAAAACUCAAAGGAAUUGACGGGGCCCCGCACAAGCGGCGGAGCAUGCGGAUUAAUUCGAUGCAACGCGUAGAACCUUACCUGGGUUUGACAUGGAUCGGGAGUGCUCAGAGAUGGGUGUGCCUCUUUUGGGGUCGGUUCACAGGUGGUGCAUGGCUGUCGUCAGCUCGUGUCGUGAGAUGUUGGGUUAAGUCCCGCAACGAGCGCAACCCUUGUUCACUGUUGCCAGCACGUUAUGGUGGGGACUCAGUGGAGACCGCCGGGGUCAACUCGGAGGAAGGUGGGGAUGACGUCAAGUCAUCAUGCCCCUUAUGUCCAGGGCUUCACGCAUGCUACAAUGGCUGGUACAGAGAGUGGCGAGCCUGUGAGGGUGAGCGAAUCUCGGAAAGCCGGUCUCAGUUCGGAUUGGGGUCUGCAACUCGACCUCAUGAAGUCGGAGUCGCUAGUAAUCGCAGAUCAGCAACGCUGCGGUGAAUACGUUCCCGGG
RNAcentral lists this ribosomal RNA (1343 nucleotides) under uncultured bacterium. RNAcentral's name for it is "16S ribosomal RNA". It matches the Rfam family "Bacterial small subunit ribosomal RNA", at positions 28 to 1378 of the family's 1533-position model. The record is from RNAcentral.